RNAcentral lists this long non-coding RNA (883 nucleotides) under Homo sapiens (human). RNAcentral describes it as "non-protein coding lnc-VEZF1-1:6". Lineage: Eukaryota; Metazoa; Chordata; Mammalia; Primates; Hominidae. The record is from RNAcentral.
GAAAAGUGAUUCUUCUGAAUCUUAGCUUUUCAGUAAUGAGAACUGGACUGUUUCCACUUGACCUCUAUUUCCUGUUAGUGGGAAACCGCUUCCCAGAGGUGCUGUGUGAAAGAUUGCUGGGGAAAGGGUUUCUAGAUCCCAGCAUAACAAGUUCAAGAGUCCAGCGAUAUUGUCAUUAGAAUAAUGGUCUUCAUUAAGUACUAGUUUUCAUAAUCCUGAAGCUUCAUUUUCACCAAUUUGAAAGGCAGCUAGGGAGGAGAAGACUAUGCAGGGAAGGAGGAAAACUCUGGAGUGCAUCACAGAGACCUUGAGUGAGUUAAGGCAGGGAAGAAGCAGAUUUGCUAUCCACUGAAUGAAAAUAAGAAGAAUUCCAUUGUCCAAGGUCAGAGCAAGAACACAAAGGUUUUAGUUUACUUAGUUAAUUCCUUAGGUUUGGACAUUACAGGAGACAUGGGGGUGACCAUAGCAAUUUAGCUGAUAAAUGUAUCAGAAACUCUUUCAUCAUUUUCUGUCCCCUCCUAUCUUAGGCUGACCGGUUCCCUGAUGUGUUACCUGCUUCUGCUACUGAUCCAAACUGCAGAACUUCUCAUUCAUCCCCAAGGCCUCCAGGCAGUAUCCAAUGGGGAAUCAGCUCUAAAAGGAACCAGACCAACGUUUUCCAGCCCCUUCAUUCUGUAGCUUCCCUCUGUGUGAGGAAAGGAUAGAAAUGUUCAGGACAUCAUCAUACAGGCUCCUCAUCUACAAAGUUCCAGUAGCAGUGACGCCUACACGGAAGACUUGGAACUGCAAACAGGCUGGGGUCACCUCAGUGACAUCUGACGCUGUCCAACCAGAAGUUCGAUUUUUGUUCUGGGGGUGAAGGAGGAAACAGACUGUACUAAAG